AAACAGGAAUUAGAAUACAAUAUAAGCUCUAAGUGUUGUGUUGUCAUUUUCCCUGCUUAAAGGAAAGUUGUUUCUUAAUUAGCUAUACCUGUCUGAUUGACACCUGUUGCAGCCAGGGACACUUAAUCUCAUAACU
Sorex fumeus (smoky shrew) is the source of this 136-nucleotide small nucleolar RNA. RefSeq annotates it as small nucleolar RNA SNORA63. Lineage: Eukaryota; Metazoa; Chordata; Mammalia; Eulipotyphla; Soricidae. The record is from RefSeq and is a predicted model, not a curated record. The transcript has a single exon.